UAGUCCACGCCGUAAACGAUGUCUGCUAGCCGUUUGGGCACUUAGUGUCUGGGUGGCGCCGCUAACGCAUUAAGCAGACCGCCUGGGGAGUACGGUCGCAAGAUUAAAACUCAAAGGAAUUGACGGGGGCCCGCACAAGCGGUGGAGCAUGUGGUUUAAUUCGAUGCAACGCGAAGAACCUUACCUACUCUUGACAUCCAGAGAACUUUUCAGAGAUGAAUUGGUGCCUUCGGGAACUCUGAGACAGGUGCUGCAUGGCUGUCGUCAGCUCGUGUUGUGAAAUGUUGGGUUAAGUCCCGCAACGAGCGCAACCCUUAUCCUUGUUUGCCAGCGAGUAAUGUCGGGAACUCCAGGGAGACUGCCGGUGAUAAACCGGGNGGAAGGUGGGGACGACGUCAGGUCAUCAUGGUCCUUACGAGUAGGGGCUACACACGUGCUACAAUGGCGCAUACAGAGGGCAGCCAACUCGCGAGAGUGAGCGAAUCCCAAAAAGUGCGUCGUAGUCC
RNAcentral lists this ribosomal RNA (506 nucleotides) under uncultured bacterium. RNAcentral describes it as "bacterial SSU rRNA". It matches the Rfam family "Bacterial small subunit ribosomal RNA", at positions 791 to 1294 of the family's 1533-position model. The record is from RNAcentral.